CAGUAGCCGCGGUAAUACGAAGGGUGCAAGCGUUACUCGGAAUUACUGGGCGUAAAGCGUGCGUAGGUGGUGGUUUAAGUCCGUUGUGAAAGCCCUGGGCUCAACCUGGGAAUUGCAGUGGAUACUGGGUCACUAGAGUGUGGUAGAGGAUAGUGGAAUUUCCGGUGUAGCAGUGAAAUGCGUAGAGAUCGGAAGGAACAUCUGUGGCGAAGGCGACUAUCUGGGCCAUCACUGACACUGAGGCACGAAAGCGUGGGGAGCAAACAGGAUUAGAUACCCCAGUAGUCCCUGUCUCUUAUAC
RNAcentral lists this ribosomal RNA (301 nucleotides) under uncultured bacterium. RNAcentral's name for it is "partial 16S ribosomal RNA". It matches the Rfam family "Bacterial small subunit ribosomal RNA", at positions 509 to 807 of the family's 1533-position model. The record is from RNAcentral.